Molecule: ribosomal RNA, 521 nt
Filed under: uncultured bacterium
Lineage: Bacteria
Description: partial 16S ribosomal RNA
Rfam family: Bacterial small subunit ribosomal RNA
Source: RNAcentral
AAUGAACGCUGGCGGCGUGCUUAACACAUGCAAGUCGUACGAGAAACCCCGGCUUGCCGGGGGAGUAAAGUGGCGCACGGGUGAGUAACGCGUGGGUAAUCUACCCUCGAAUUGGGGAUAACACACCGAAAGGUGUGCUAAUACCGAAUAAGACCACGACCUCCACGGGGGUUGCGGUCAAAGAUGGCCUCUGCUUGCAAGCUGUCGUUUGAGGAUGAGCCCGCGUACCAUUAGCUUGUUGGUGGGGUAAUGGCCUACCAAGGCAACGAUGGUUAGCGGGUCUGAGAGGAUGGCCAGCCACACUGGAACUGGAACACGGUCCAGACUCCUACGGGAGGCAGCAGUGAGGAAUUUUGCGGAAGGGGGGAAACCCUGACGCAGCAACGCCGCGUGAGUGAAGAAGGCCUUCGGGUUGUAAAGCUCUGUCAAGUGGGAAGAACCUUUUUCGGCCGAAUCCGCCGAGAAACUGACGGUACCGCUGAAGGAAGCACCGGCUAACUCCGUGCCAGCAGCCGCAGUAA